This is a non-coding RNA of Paramuricea clavata, 496 nucleotides long. NCBI's taxonomy places the organism in Eukaryota, Metazoa, Cnidaria, Anthozoa, Malacalcyonacea, Plexauridae. The record is from the annotation of a GenBank genome assembly.
UAAGGUAUAAAAUCUGCUCUGUAAACUUACGACGAAGUGGAGAAAUGUGUGCAUAAGCUGUUUAUUUGGUGAUUUCAACGUAUAUGGCAGCCCUCUUUCCAAUAAUAUUCGCUUAUCGCACAGAAUAACACCAACUGAUAUAAUAGUUCAAAUGCAAUGAUAAGUUACCUCUUGAAUUACAUCUCAGAAACUGUGUUGGAAAUGGAGAUGCUGAUCCAUUCCAUAAGAUUAUCGUUUUACAUCGUUGUAUAAAACAUUUUGAUCGCAUGUAAGGAAUUAUUUUUCAUCCCAGAGAUAUAGCCCAACGACUUAACAUUGACGUCCUUGUGAUUUUAUAGAGAUACAGCUAGAACUGAGGAUUUUACAAAGCGAUAUCGGUACCUUCCCAAAAUCGUAGACAAGAUAUGUUGUUUACGUCCAACACGCUUAAAAUUACAUAACUCAAAAUAAUUCGAGCAAAACCGGUCUUUUGUUCAAUGUAGAGACUGGUUCAUAG